This 474-nucleotide ribosomal RNA is filed under the name uncultured bacterium. RNAcentral's name for it is "bacterial SSU rRNA". It matches the Rfam family "Bacterial small subunit ribosomal RNA", at positions 8 to 526 of the family's 1533-position model. The record is from RNAcentral.
AGAGUUUGAUCAUGGCUCAGAGCGAACGCUGGCGGCAGGCUUAACACAUGCAAGUCGAGCGGGCGUAGCAAUACGUCAGCGGCAGACGGGUGAGUAACGCGUGGGAACGUACCUUUUGGUUCGGAACAACACAGGGAAACUUGUGCUAAUACCGGAUAAGCCCUUACGGGGAAAGAUUUAUCGCCGAAAGAUCGGCCCGCGUCUGAUUAGCUAGUUGGUGAGGUAACGGCUCACCAAGGCGACGAUCAGUAGCUGGUCUGAGAGGAUGAUCAGCCACAUUGGGACUGAGACACGGCCCAAACUCCUACGGGAGGCAGCAGUGGGGAAUAUUGGACAAUGGGGGCAACCCUGAUCCAGCCAUGCCGCGUGAGUGAUGAAGGCCCUAGGGUUGUAAAGCUCUUUUGUGCGGGAAGAUAAUGACGGUACCGCAAGAAUAAGCCCCGGCUAACUUCGUGCCAGCCGCCGCGGUAAUAC